This 253-nucleotide ribosomal RNA is filed under the name uncultured bacterium. Its description in RNAcentral is "partial 16S ribosomal RNA". It matches the Rfam family "Bacterial small subunit ribosomal RNA", at positions 524 to 776 of the family's 1533-position model. The record is from RNAcentral.
UACGUAGGUGGCGAGCGUUGUCCAGAUUUACUGGGCGUAAAGGGAGCGUAGGCGGACUUUUAAGUGAGAUGUGAAAUACUCGGGCUCAACUUGAGUGCUGCAUUUCAAACUGGAAGUCUAGAGUGCAGGAGAGGAGAAUGGAAUUCCUAGUGUAGCGGCGAAAUGCGUAGAGAUUAGGAAGAACACCAGUGGCGAAGGCGAUUCUCUGGACUGUAACUGACGCUGAGGCUCGAAAGCGUGGGGAGCAAACAGG